RNAcentral lists this ribosomal RNA (440 nucleotides) under uncultured bacterium. Its description in RNAcentral is "partial 16S ribosomal RNA". It matches the Rfam family "Bacterial small subunit ribosomal RNA", at positions 338 to 795 of the family's 1533-position model. The record is from RNAcentral.
CCUACGGGUGGCAGCAGUGGGGAAUAUUGCACAAUGGGGGAAACCCUGAUGCAGCGACGCCGCGUGAGUGAAGAAGUAUUUCGGUAUGUAAAGCUCUAUCAGCAGGGAAGAAAAUGACGGUACCUGAUGAAUAAGCACCGGCUAACUACGUGCCAGCAGCCGCGGUAAUACGGAGGGGGCAAGCGUUAUCCGGAUUUACUGGGUGUAAAGGGAGCGUAGACGGCAGAGCAAGUCUGGAGGGAAAUGCCGGGGCUUAACCCCGGAACUGCUUUUGAAACUGUGUAGCUAGAGUGCAGGAGAGGUAAGUGGAAUUCCUGGUGUAGCGGUGAAAUGCGUAGAUAUUAGGAGGAACACCAGUGGCGAAGGCGGCUUACUGGACCGUAACUGACGUUGAGGCUCGAAAGCGUGGGGAGCAAACAGGAUUAGAUACCCGGGUAGUC